AGCCCAUGGUUGGGGCAUUUCUUCAACAAGGCAUUGAAUCUCUCCCAUGCUUCAAACAUAGACUCUUGGCUCUUCAUACUAAAGUGGGAGAUCUCCGCUUGUAGGUU
Small nucleolar RNA from Salvia splendens (bonfire salvia), 107 nucleotides. Lineage: Eukaryota; Viridiplantae; Streptophyta; Magnoliopsida; Lamiales; Lamiaceae. The record is from RefSeq and is a predicted model, not a curated record.